This 18-nucleotide unclassified non-coding RNA is filed under the name Chlamydomonas reinhardtii. RNAcentral's name for it is "small RNA Cre_1330". The record is from RNAcentral. Lineage: Eukaryota; Viridiplantae; Chlorophyta; Chlorophyceae; Chlamydomonadales; Chlamydomonadaceae.
CGGGCGGAGACACUCACG